Molecule: ribosomal RNA, 1308 nt
Filed under: Salmonella enterica subsp. enterica serovar Infantis
Lineage: Bacteria; Pseudomonadati; Pseudomonadota; Gammaproteobacteria; Enterobacterales; Enterobacteriaceae
Description: bacterial SSU rRNA
Rfam family: Bacterial small subunit ribosomal RNA
Source: RNAcentral
CUUGCCAUCAGAUGUGCCCAGAUGGGAUUAGCUUGUUGGUGAGGUAACGGCUCACCAAGGCGACGAUCCCUAGCUGGUCUGAGAGGAUGACCAGCCACACUGGAACUGAGACACGGUCCAGACUCCUACGGGAGGCAGCAGUGGGGAAUAUUGCACAAUGGGCGCAAGCCUGAUGCAGCCAUGCCGCGUGUAUGAAGAAGGCCUUCGGGUUGUAAAGUACUUUCAGCGGGGAGGAAGGUGUUGCGGUUAAUAACCGCAGCAAUUGACGUUACCCGCAGAAGAAGCACCGGCUAACUCCGUGCCAGCAGCCGCGGUAAUACGGAGGGUGCAAGCGUUAAUCGGAAUUACUGGGCGUAAAGCGCACGCAGGCGGUCUGUCAAGUCGGAUGUGAAAUCCCCGGGCUCAACCUGGGAACUGCAUUCGAAACUGGCAGGCUUGAGUCUUGUAGAGGGGGGUAGAAUUCCAGGUGUAGCGGUGAAAUGCGUAGAGAUCUGGAGGAAUACCGGUGGCGAAGGCGGCCCCCUGGACAAAGACUGACGCUCAGGUGCGAAAGCGUGGGGAGCAAACAGGAUUAGAUACCCUGGUAGUCCACGCCGUAAACGAUGUCUACUUGGAGGUUGUGCCCUUGAGGCGUGGCUUCCGGAGCUAACGCGUUAAGUAGACCGCCUGGGGAGUACGGCCGCAAGGUUAAAACUCAAAUGAAUUGACGGGGGCCCGCACAAGCGGUGGAGCAUGUGGUUUAAUUCGAUGCAACGCGAAGAACCUUACCUGGUCUUGACAUCCACAGAAGAAUCCAGAGAUGGAUUUGUGCCUUCGGGAACUGUGAGACAGGUGCUGCAUGGCUGUCGUCAGCUCGUGUUGUGAAAUGUUGGGUUAAGUCCCGCAACGAGCGCAACCCUUAUCCUUUGUUGCCAGCGGUCCGGCCGGGAACUCAAAGGAGACUGCCAGUGAUAAACUGGAGGAAGGUGGGGAUGACGUCAAGUCAUCAUGGCCCUUACGACCAGGGCUACACACGUGCUACAAUGGCGCAUACAAAGAGAAGCGACCUCGCGAGAGCAAGCGGACCUCAUAAAGUGCGUCGUAGUCCGGAUUGGAGUCUGCAACUCGACUCCAUGAAGUCGGAAUCGCUAGUAAUCGUGGAUCAGAAUGCCACGGUGAAUACGUUCCCGGGCCUUGUACACACCGCCCGUCACACCAUGGGAGUGGGUUGCAAAAGAAGUAGGUAGCUUAACCUUCGGGAGGGCGCUUACCACUUUGUGAUUCAUGACUGGGGUGAAGUCGUAACAAGGUAACCGUAGGGGAACCUGC